UAUAAUGCAGUCGAGCGGACAGAUGGGAGCUUGCUCCCUGAUGUUAGCGGCGGACGGGUGAGUAACACGUGGGUAACCUGCCUGUAAGACUGGGAUAACUCCGGGAAACCGGGGCUAAUACCGGAUGCUUGUUUGAACCGCAUGGUUCAAACAUAAAAGGUGGCUUCGGCUACCACUUACAGAUGGACCCGCGGCGCAUUAGCUAGUUGGUGAGGUAACGGCUCACCAAGGCGACGAUGCGUAGCCGACCUGAGAGGGUGAUCGGCCACACUGGGACUGAGACACGGCCCAGACUCCUACGGGAGGCAGCAGUAGGGAAUCUUCCGCAAUGGACGAAAGUCUGACGGAGCAACGCCGCGUGAGUGAUGAAGGUUUUCGGAUCGUAAAGCUCUGUUGUUAGGGAAGAACAAGUGCCGUUCAAAUAGGGCGGCACCUUGACGGUACCUAACCAGAAAGCCACGGCUAACUACGUGCCAGCAGCCGCGGUAAUACGUAGGUGGCAAGCGUUGUCCGGAAUUAUUGGGCGUAAAGGGCUCGCAGGCGGUUUCUUAAGUCUGAUGUGAAAGCCCCCGGCUCAACCGGGGAGGGUCAUUGGAAACUGGGGAACUUGAGUGCAGAAGAGGAGAGUGGAAUUCCACGUGUAGCGGUGAAAUGCGUAGAGAUGUGGAGGAACACCAGUGGCGAAGGCGACUCUCUGGUCUGUAACUGACGCUGAGGAGCGAAAGCGUGGGGAGCGAACAGGAUUAGAUACCCUGGUAGUCCACGCCGUAAACGAUGAGUGCUAAGUGUUAGGGGGUUUCCGCCCCUUAGUGCUGCAGCUAACGCAUUAA
This 830-nucleotide ribosomal RNA is filed under the name Bacillus atrophaeus. Its description in RNAcentral is "bacterial SSU rRNA". It matches the Rfam family "Bacterial small subunit ribosomal RNA", at positions 52 to 863 of the family's 1533-position model. Lineage: Bacteria; Bacillati; Bacillota; Bacilli; Caryophanales; Bacillaceae. The record is from RNAcentral.